This 497-nucleotide ribosomal RNA is filed under the name uncultured bacterium. Its description in RNAcentral is "partial 16S ribosomal RNA". It matches the Rfam family "Bacterial small subunit ribosomal RNA", at positions 28 to 507 of the family's 1533-position model. The record is from RNAcentral.
GAUGAACGCUGGCGGCGUGCCUAAUACAUGCAAGUCGAGCGAACGGACGAGAAGCUUGCUUCUCUGAUGUUAGCGGCGGACGGGUGAGUAACACGUGGAUAACCUACCUAUAAGACUGGGAUAACUUCGGGAAACCGUAGCUAAUACCGGAUAAUAUUUUGAACCGCAUGGUUCAAAAGUGAAAGACGGUCUUGCUGUCACUUAUAGAUGGAUCCGCGCUGCAUUAGCUAGUUGGUAAGGUAACGGCUUACCAAGGCAACGAUGCAUAGCCGACCUGAGAGGGUGAUCGGCCACCCUGGAACUGAGACACGGUCCAGACUCCUACGGGAGGCGGCAGUAGGGAAUCUUACGCAAUGGGCGAAAGCCUGACGGAGCAACGCCGCGUGAGUGAUGAAGGUCUUCGGAUCGUAAAACUCUGUUAUUAGGGAAGAACAUAUGUGUACGUAACUGUGCACAUCUUGACGGUACCUACUCAGAAAGCCACGGCUAACUACGUG